GAAGAUGGGAUGGUCAUGUUAAAAGUAUAAGAAGGAGAACAAACUAUAAAACAUGGCUGCAACAUCCAGUGUGUCAAGAUGACAAUUCUGAAGAGGAGACCAGUUACCCAUGCAACUCUAAAACAUCGCCACAUCAUACCAUGAUGGAUGACAGAUCUGACAGAGUAGAGGAGAUCAGUUAUCCAUACAACUGUAACACAUCACCACAUCAUACCAUGGAUGAUGAAUCUGAGACUGAAGUGGAGAACUGGGACCAACACAGCACAAAUGACACAGCAACAGAUUUUUGCAUGGAUGGAGAAUCUGAUAAUGAGCAUUGCGAACCACAAAACUGGCAUAUGACUCCACCACA
This is a long non-coding RNA of Sinocyclocheilus rhinocerous, 352 nucleotides long. RefSeq lists it as uncharacterized. NCBI's taxonomy places the organism in Eukaryota, Metazoa, Chordata, Actinopteri, Cypriniformes, Cyprinidae. The record is from RefSeq and is a predicted model, not a curated record. The transcript has 6 exons.